AGGAGACUCAUGGGUGGGGCGGCACUGUCACUGAACAUAAAAAGAAAACCCGGAGCUAAACCAGUCCUUUCUAUUCUGCGGUGGUUUCACCCCCACUGCAGAAACCAUGGGGACUGUGACCAUUGAUCUUUAAUCGGUUACUUCUGGAGCCCCUACUCCAUGGAGCCCCACCCUUUCUGCUUGCUGUAAUUGGACAUUCAUGGGAAUAACCCAUACCUGUUGAGGAGACGAGAGAAGAGGAGGAAGAGAUGGCGAAGAAAUCCCCGCUGCCAAGGGCAGGGUCACGUCACUCCCUUGGCCGUCCCGUCAUGAAGACACGACGCAUUGGAUGCGGCCUGCAAUAGGCAGUCACCCCUCACAACCUGCCUCAGGGCCAACAUGGGCCACGCCUCACGUGAUAAAAGACAACUGAACAUGGGUGCGCUGUAGUGAGUCACCCCCCCAGGGUGACUCCGCGCAUGCACAUGUGCAGUUGUCUUCUCUCGUGUGCUGACCUGGACCGUGUGUAGCCCUGAUGCAGCCUGUGAGGAGGGCUACCUGCCGUUGGUACAAGUCCAAUGCGUCGUGUUCCCAUACCUGUACGGCAGGGAGCGGCGCGUGCAGAGCCAGUGCUACAAUAACGCACUGACCUCAAACCACGAACCAAAAAACCUAGACUACAGAAGCAACCAAACCAAAGCCAAACAAAUACUUGUUCCAAUUCCCCUUUCCCGGUUGGCUUCUGGUUGUCUGUGUUGCUUGGUUCGGCGGCUCGGGGGGGCCUGCUGAGAAACACAACCCCUUUAUAAAAAAUUAAAGCAGAACGCAUUUUUCUGAAGAAAAAAAAAACAUUUAAAACUGUUCCAAUAAAAACUGUACAAACCUUUGCAACUGAAA
Long non-coding RNA from Hypomesus transpacificus, 876 nucleotides. RefSeq lists it as uncharacterized. The transcript has 3 exons. NCBI's taxonomy places the organism in Eukaryota, Metazoa, Chordata, Actinopteri, Osmeriformes, Osmeridae. The record is from RefSeq and is a predicted model, not a curated record.